AUGGAAUCUUAGUGAGAACAGCACCAGUGGCUCUACACAGUUAGUACUUAGACAUUGUAUACGAGAAGGAGGGCAAGAUGUUCCAAGCAACAAGGAUGUCACAUCUCUAGAUUGGAAUAGUGAAGGUACACUUCUAGCAACUGGUUCCUAUGAUGGGUUUGCCAGAAUAUGGACUAAAGAUGGUAACCUUGCUAGCACCUUAGGGCAGCAUAAAGGCCCUAUAUUUGCAUUAAAAUGGAAUAAGAAAGGAAAUUUCAUCCUAAGUGCUGGAGUAGACAAGACUACAAUUAUUUGGGACGCACAUACUGGUGAAGCCAAGCAACAGUUUCCUUUUCAUUCAGCACCAGCAUUGGAUGUUGAUUGGCAGAGCAACAACACCUUUGCUUCUUGUAGUACAGAUAUGUGCAUUCAUGUCUGUAAAUUAGGACAAGACAGACCUAUUAAAACAUUCCAAGGACAUACGAAUGAAGUAAAUGCUAUCAAAUGGGACCCAACUGGCAAUCUCUUGGCCUCCUGUUCUGACGACAUGACUUUAAAGUACCAAGGACUGCAGAUGUGAUGACCGUUACAGAUAUGAAAAUCAUGAGGGAAAACUGAUUUUCCUGCUACUAUGAACAGAUUAAAUUUAACUUUGCGAAACUUAUAUGGAGUAUGAAACAAGACAAUUGUGUCCAUGAUUUGCAAGCACAU
This 690-nucleotide long non-coding RNA is filed under the name Homo sapiens (human). Its description in RNAcentral is "HSALNT0064498". Lineage: Eukaryota; Metazoa; Chordata; Mammalia; Primates; Hominidae. The record is from RNAcentral.